UACGUAGGGUGCAAGCGUUGUCCGGAAUUAUUGGGCGUAAAGGGUGCGUAGGUGGCGCCGUAAGUCAGGUGUGAAAUUUCGGAGCUUAACUCCGAAACUGCAUUUGAUACUGCGGUGCUUGAGGACUGGAGAGGAGGCUGGAAUUUACGGUGUAGCAGUGAAAUGCGUAGAGAUCGUAAGGAAGACCAGUGGCGAAGGCGGGUCUCUGGACAGUUCCUGACACUGAGGCACGAAGGCCAGGGGAGCAAACGGG
Molecule: ribosomal RNA, 253 nt
Filed under: uncultured bacterium
Lineage: Bacteria
Description: partial 16S ribosomal RNA
Rfam family: Bacterial small subunit ribosomal RNA
Source: RNAcentral